This 253-nucleotide ribosomal RNA is filed under the name uncultured bacterium. RNAcentral's name for it is "partial 16S ribosomal RNA". It matches the Rfam family "Bacterial small subunit ribosomal RNA", at positions 524 to 776 of the family's 1533-position model. The record is from RNAcentral.
UACGAAGGGGGCUAGCGUUGCUCGGAAUCACUGGGCGUAAAGCGCACGUAGGCGGAUUGCUAAGUCAGGGGUGAAAUCCUGGAGCUCAACUCCAGAACUGCCUUUGAUACUGGCGACCUUGAGUCCGGGAGAGGUGAGUGGAACUGCGAGUGUAGAGGUGAAAUUCGUAGAUAUUCGCAAGAACACCGGUGGCGAAGGCGGCUAUCUGGACUGUGAUUGACGCUGAGGCGCGAAAGCGUGGGGAGCAAACAGG